UCAAGUGAAGAAGCGCAUACGGUGGAUGCCUUGGCAGUCAGAGGCGAUGAAAGACGUGGUAGCCUGCGAAAAGCUUCGGGGAGUCGGCAAACAGACUUUGAUCCGGAGAUGUCUGAAUGGGGGAACCCAGCCAUCAUAAGAUGGUUAUCUUACGCUGAAUACAUAGGCGUAAGAGGCGAACCAGGGGAACUGAAACAUCUAAGUACCCUGAGGAAAAGAAAUCAACCGAGAUUCCCUUAGUAGUGGCGAGCGAACGGGGACUAGCCCUUAAGUGGCUUUGAGAUUAGCGGAACGCUCUGGAAAGUGCGGCCAUAGUGGGUGAUAGCCCUGUACGCGAAAAUCUCUUAGUCAUGAAAUCGAGUAGGACGGAGCACGAGAAACUUUGUCUGAAUAUGGGGGGACCAUCCUCCAAGGCUAAAUACUACUGACUGACCGAUAGUGAACUAGUACCGUGAGGGAAAGGCGAAAAGAACCCCGGAGAGGGGAGUGAAAUAGAUCCUGAAACCGUAUGCGUACAAGCAGUGGGAGCCCACUUUGUUGGGUGACUGCGUACCUUUUGUAUAAUGGGUCAGCGACUUAUUUUCAGUGGCGAGCUUAACCGAAUAGGGGAGGCGUAGCGAAAGCGAGUCUUAAUAGGGCGUCUAGUCGCUGGGAAUAGACCCGAAACCGGGCGAUCUAUCCAUGGGCAGGUUGAAGGUUGGGUAACACUAACUGGAGGACCGAACCGACUACCGUUGAAAAGUUAGCGGAUGACCUGUGGAUCGGAGUGAAAGGCUAAUCAAGCUCGGAGAUAGCUGGUUCUCCUCGAAAGCUAUUUAGGUAGCGCCUCAUGUAUCACUGUAGGGGGUAGAGCACUGUUUCGGCUAGGGGGUCAUCCCGACUUACCAAACCGAUGCAAACUCCGAAUACCUACAAGUGCCGAGCAUGGGAGACACACGGCGGGUGCUAACGUCCGUCGUGAAAAGGGAAACAACCCAGACCGUCAGCUAAGGUCCCAAAGUUAUGGUUAAGUGGGAAACGAUGUGGGAAGGCUUAGACAGCUAGGAGGUUGGCUUAGAAGCAGCCACCCUUUAAAGAAAGCGUAAUAGCUCACUAGUCGAGUCGGCCUGCGCGGAAGAUGUAACGGGGCUCAAACCAUACACCGAAGCUACGGGUAUCACGUAAGUGAUGCGGUAGAGGAGCGUUCUGUAAGCCUGUGAAGGUGAGUUGAGAAGCUUGCUGGAGGUAUCAGAAGUGCGAAUGCUGACAUGAGUAACGACAAUGGGUGUGAAAAACACCCACGCCGAAAGACCAAGGUUUCCUGCGCAACGUUAAUCGACGCAGGGUUAGUCGGUCCCUAAGGCGAGGCUGAAAAGCGUAGUCGAUGGAAAACAGGUUAAUAUUCCUGUACUUCUGGUUAUUGCGAUGGAGGGACGGAGAAGGCUAGGCCAGCUUGGCGUUGGUUGUCCAAGUUUAAGGUGGUAGGCUGGAAUCUUAGGUAAAUCCGGGAUUCUAAGGCCGAGAGCUGAUGACGAGUCGUCUUUUAGACGACGAAGUGGUUGAUGCCAUGCUUCCAAGAAAAGCUUCUAAGCUUCAGGUAACCAGGAACCGUACCCCAAACCGACACAGGUGGUUGGGUAGAGAAUACCAAGGCGCUUGAGAGAACUCGGGUGAAGGAACUAGGCAAAAUGGCACCGUAACUUCGGGAGAAGGUGCGCCGGUGAGGGUGAAGGACUUGCUCCGUAAGCUCAUGCCGGUCGAAGAUACCAGGCCGCUGCGACUGUUUAUUAAAAACACAGCACUCUGCAAACACGAAAGUGGACGUAUAGGGUGUGACGCCUGCCCGGUGCCGGAAGGUUAAUUGAUGGGGUUAGCUAACGCGAAGCUCUUGAUCGAAGCCCCGGUAAACGGCGGCCGUAACUAUAACGGUCCUAAGGUAGCGAAAUUCCUUGUCGGGUAAGUUCCGACCUGCACGAAUGGCGUAACGAUGGCGGCGCUGUCUCCACCCGAGACUCAGUGAAAUUGAAAUCGCUGUGAAGAUGCAGUGUAUCCGCGGCUAGACGGAAAGACCCCGUGAACCUUUACUAUAGCUUUGCACUGGACUUUGAAUUUGCUUGUGUAGGAUAGGUGGGAGGCUUUGAAGCGUGGACGCCAGUCUGCGUGGAGCCAACCUUGAAAUACCACCCUGGCAACUUUGAGGUUCUAACUCAGGUCCGUUAUCCGGAUCGAGGACAGUGUAUGGUGGGUAGUUUGACUGGGGCGGUCUCCUCCUAAAGAGUAACGGAGGAGUACGAAGGUGCGCUCAGACCGGUCGGAAAUCGGUCGUAGAGUAUAAAGGCAAAAGCGCGCUUGACUGCGAGACAGACACGUCGAGCAGGUACGAAAGUAGGUCUUAGUGAUCCGGUGGUUCUGUAUGGAAGGGCCAUCGCUCAACGGAUAAAAGGUACUCCGGGGAUAACAGGCUGAUACCGCCCAAGAGUUCAUAUCGACGGCGGUGUUUGGCACCUCGAUGUCGGCUCAUCACAUCCUGGGGCUGAAGCCGGUCCCAAGGGUAUGGCUGUUCGCCAUUUAAAGUGGUACGCGAGCUGGGUUUAGAACGUCGUGAGACAGUUCGGUCCCUAUCUGCCGUGGACGUUUGAGAUUUGAGAGGGGCUGCUCCUAGUACGAGAGGACCGGAGUGGACGAACCUCUGGUGUUCCGGUUGUCACGCCAGUGGCAUUGCCGGGUAGCUAUGUUCGGAAUAGAUAACCGCUGAAAGCAUCUAAGCGGGAAACUAGCCUCAAGAUGAGAUCUCACUGGAACCUUGAGUUCCCUGAAGGGCCGUCGAAGACUACGACGUUGAUAGGUUGGGUGUGUAAGCGCUGUGAGGCGUUGAGCUAACCAAUACUAAUUGCCCGUGAGGCUUGACCAU
Molecule: ribosomal RNA, 2890 nt
Rfam family: Bacterial large subunit ribosomal RNA